Molecule: ribosomal RNA, 450 nt
Filed under: uncultured bacterium
Lineage: Bacteria
Description: partial 16S ribosomal RNA
Rfam family: Bacterial small subunit ribosomal RNA
Source: RNAcentral
GUGGGGAAUUUUGGACAAUGGGCGCAAGCCUGAUCCAGCAAUGCCGCGUGCAGGAAGAAGGCCUUCGGGUUGUAAACUGCUUUUGUACGGAACGAAACGGUCCGGGUUAAUACCCUGGGCUAAUGACGGUACCGUAAGAAUAAGCACCGGCUAACUACGUGCCAGCAGCCGCGGUAAUACGUAGGGUGCAAGCGUUAAUCGGAAUUACUGGGCGUAAAGCGUGCGCAGGCGGUUUUGUAAGACAGGCGUGAAAUCCCCGGGCUCAACCUGGGAAUUGCGCUUGUGACUGCUAGGCUGGAGUGCGGCAGAGGGGGAUGGAAUUCCGCGUGUAGCAGUGAAAUGCGUAGAUAUGCGGAGGAACACCGAUGGCGAAGGCAAUCCCCUGGGCCUGCACUGACGCUCAUGCACGAAAGCGUGGGGAGCAAACAGGAUUAGAAACCCCAGUAGUCC